This 64-nucleotide transfer RNA is filed under the name Macrocheles nataliae. RNAcentral describes it as "tRNA-Thr". Lineage: Eukaryota; Metazoa; Arthropoda; Arachnida; Mesostigmata; Macrochelidae. The record is from RNAcentral.
AUUAGAAUAGUUUAAUAAAAACAUUGAUCUUGUAUAUCAAAAAUAUAAAAAUAUAUUUCUAAUA